This is a long non-coding RNA of Carassius auratus (goldfish), 2801 nucleotides long. RefSeq lists it as uncharacterized. NCBI's taxonomy places the organism in Eukaryota, Metazoa, Chordata, Actinopteri, Cypriniformes, Cyprinidae. The transcript has 6 exons. The record is from RefSeq and is a predicted model, not a curated record.
UCCCUGGAUGUAAAAGAAAAUAAAUAAACAACUUCAUAAUAUAUUGUUCUACUAUUAUAGGUUCGUUUGUUGAACAGAUGUGCAUAUACCUUGUAAUUACACAGUUUUGCACAUCAUGAUUCUUGUAUAAGUAUUAUGUUGUUUUACAAUAUCAGCAUGCCAUUUCUUUUUUGCAUUAAGAUUAGUUUUAUAAAGACAAUUCAAUUAAAUAAUAUUAUAUAGCAUUCUUCGCAUCAGGCAAUAAAAUCAGAUUAAAGCUAAGCUUCUUGACGUAAUGUUGUAUAAUAGUGCCACCUGCUGCUGUAAUAUAGAGUUGCACUCUGUACAAAGAGAAGGUUAACUUGCUAAAUUUACCCUUUAAAAACAGUGUACACUUAUUUUUAGGCCAUAACAUAUUUAGAUGUAAUUUUGACAUGUGCAGGAUGAUGAUGCACAAGCCAAUGUGUUAUUAAGAGAAUGGAAAUCGAAUAAUUGUAAAUUUAGCAUUAUGACAACUACAUUAGCAAAUGUUUCCAAGAGUCCAUCUUACCUCACUGCUGGCAAGAAGUGUUCGUUUUCUAACUAAACUAACAAAACUAACUAACAUGGCAGAAUCCUAGGAAAAAAAGAAUAAUAUAGAUAUAUGAAUAUAUAUAUAUGUCAUAAUAGCAACACUAUAAAUUCAAAUUGAAUGAUUUCUUAUAUAGAUGAAAUGUACAUCUAACUCAUGGAAUUACUGAAUAAUAACUCCAUAAAUGAAAAUAAAUAUUACAUUUAAAAAACAACACUAGUAACAACAUUUUUACUUUUUCACUUAAAAAUAAAAGCAACAUGUUUUUCUUCUACAGAUACAAAAACAUUAAUGUCACAAAUCUUAAAAAAUAAAAAAAAUAGACAGAGAAAAAAUUAAAUAUUCAACAAGUUGCAUUUGACCUCAAUUCAGAAAAACACAGUUCAAAUGGUUCAGAACUUCAGUUAAUCAUUAAGUCAGGUGGGCAGUCAGCCACCCUCAUGGUCAUUGCUCUUAAAGUCAAAAUCAAACUUCAUGCUCAAACAAGGUGCCUCUAACAAAAGCAGCCAAAAAGUUACUUUUCCACCUUUAUUCCAGUAAGAUGAAGAAGGAUCUGGUCCACUGGCAGUCAUCAUUAUCCCAAGCUUGAUCGUCGUGUCUCAGAUAAUAUGGAGCUUUAUUGCUAAAAGAUCAUCAGCUCAGAUUAUCGCAGGUUCACCUUUAAAUGUAAAUGCACAGAUGACUUCGUAUGGUGGGAGGGGGGGCCCCCAAAUCAAAUUCUGUUUAGGGCCCCCAAGAGGCUCGGGCCGGAACUGCACGCCGGACACCCAUGUACCUGGUUUUGGAAGCAAGCAUUCCAGGGAUCCUCCUACAUUUUCUCUGGAGACUUCGAGAGGUCAGAUGUUGUGCAAGUGUUAACUUCCAGAUGUUUUCAGAGAGGUCUGUUUAUCUAGUGGCUAAACAGGUAGCAUCUGGUCUGGUGAGUCGUUUACCCUGUGUACUCAUACUUAGUAAAACAAAAAUCAACUGUAAGAUGUUUAAAAUUCUUUUAAUGUUUUAUUUUUAGGAAUUAUUUAUACUCCUACCACAGAAUUAUUCAUGGUGAUGUUGCAGCCUGGAAUGUGUUGAUCAGUUCAGGGCUCUCUGUCAAAGUCUCUGGAUUGGAUUUGGCUUUUAUGAGUCGGCAGUCAAGAACAGUGGACAAUGAACAAAUAAAAUGUUGUCAAAAAAAAAAAAAUGCACUUUGACCAAUGUGCUUAAGUUGUGUUGUCUUACUUCUUCAGGUGGUCCUUUGGAAUCCUGCUUUAUGAGAUGAUUACCCUGGGAUCUCCUCCCUAUCCUGACCUGGAACCAGCGGAAGUGCUGCCAAACACUUUGCAGUUUACCGAAUGAAAAGACCAGAAAACUGUGGAGCCCCAUUAUAUGACUUAAUAAAGUACUGCUGCAUGUGGAACUUCAAGGACCGGCCGGUCUAUUCUGCCAUUAUUCGGCUUCUAGACUCGUACACCUACCUCACUGACACAUAACCACUUCGCUGUGAAGAGGAAGUGGACAUCUGUGAAUACAGGAGGAAAGCAGGACUGCCUCCAUGAGCUCAUUCAGAGAACUAUCAAUUGAUUGACUGAGGUCAUUUCCAGCUAGUUUGUGUAGCCAUGACAUGACGAGCUCAAUGUCACUAGAGGUCGCCAUGUUUCUCAGACGCAUUGCAUUGUGGUCAACUGAAAUUAAUAAUUUCAAUGUUUCCAGCUAAUAAAAUAUAAGAACUUUCUAAAUCUUUGUCAUUUUACUUCCUGUUUUUGAUUAAAGUGGUAUUUAUUUAUCUAAGUUAGGGUGACUACAUGGCCUCUUUUUCCCAAGCAUGUGAUGGCAGGGAUUUCCAAAUUUCCUAAAAAGUACAGGUUUUGCCUUCUUUGUUUUCCUGCUGACAUUUACAGAUAUUAUAGACCCGGCCAUUUUAGGAAAUUUAGAAAUCCCAGCCAGGACAUGCACAGGAAAUAGAGGACAUAUGGUCACCCUGUCUAGUGUUAGGUAAUGAAAGAUUUAUUGUUAAGAAUAAAGAGGGGUAUAAAAAUAGAAAUGAUAAGCCUACUCAUGUCCAAGUAAAUGGUACUAUGCCAAACUUUUACUCAAAGGUCAAAGUGCCUAGUCAAUAAACAUAAACAGAAAAUAAUAUUAGAAACAUUAAUUGCUGUUCACUAUUAACAAGUAAAAAGGCUUGGGUAUUGUUUUUUUCUAGCUUUCUGUUGCCUCAGUGUCCCUCAUCUUUAUAGAAGCAUUUGUUUAUAUUUAUCUUGCCUCAGUUGUCAUGUAA